GAUGAAGAACGUAGCGAAAUGCGAUAAGUAAUGUGAAUUGCAGAAUUCAGUGAAUCAUCGAAUCUUUGAACGCACAUUGCGCCCCUUGGUACUCCGAGGGGCAUGCCUGUUCGAGCGUCAUUAUAACCCUCAAGCUCAGCUUGGUGUUGGGGCCUGCUGCACUGGCAGCCCUUAAAAUCAGUGGCGGCGCCAUCUGGCUCUAAGCGUAGUAAUUCUUCUCGCUAUGGAGUCCUGGUGGAUGCUUGCCAUCAACCCCCAAUUUUUCUAUGGUUGACCUCGGAUCAGGUAGGGAUACCCGCUGAACUUAAGCAUAUCAAUAAGCGGAGGA
Molecule: unclassified non-coding RNA, 328 nt
Filed under: soil metagenome
Description: partial contains 5.8S ribosomal RNA, internal transcribed spacer 2, and large subunit ribosomal RNA
Rfam family: 5.8S ribosomal RNA (bases 1-120)
Source: RNAcentral